This is a long non-coding RNA of Pseudophryne corroboree (corroboree frog), 3408 nucleotides long. RefSeq lists it as uncharacterized. NCBI's taxonomy places the organism in Eukaryota, Metazoa, Chordata, Amphibia, Anura, Myobatrachidae. The transcript has 3 exons. The record is from RefSeq and is a predicted model, not a curated record.
GGCUCUUUGGACAGCCAUUAAUAUCUUCCACUUUUUCAUUUGCUGUACAGAGAAGCAGGAGAGACAAGUCAGUGACGCAGAUUAUCUCAGGCUUCAUGACAGACACUUAAAUAUGCCUUGUGGUCUUUUGUGACCUUAGAAGACCAUAACAAAGUCCAUUGUGUCGGUAGAACAUUGCAUCUGUGUUUCUGAAUCCUCAAUGAGAUUCAAAAGAAAACAAAAGGUAAAGCCUAAGUGAACAACCACAUCAAACCCUUAGUGGUUUUUUGAGCCUGGAAAAUCUGACUCAUUACUCUGAAUUCCAUCCUGCAUUCAAAAGAAACUCCCUAGAUGCUUGGCUUAAAUAUCAAGUGAUUGGUAAAUAGCAAAGGAUUUAAAUCUUGCCACUCAAAGCAGGGUAGCAAAGCUUGUCAGCGGAGACAUAAGAAAGAGGAAUCCCAGAAAACAGAAGAAUCUCAGAAAAAAAGAAGAAUCCCAGAGAAAGAAGAAAGAAGACUGUGGAAGACAGUGGAAAAACAGCUGGUCAAGCCAGUCCCCACAAUGAACAAAGUUGUCCUUUUCAGAAAAACGUCUGAUCAGUCUGAAAGACUGCGGGUUCAAAGCAUCUGAUUCAACAUAGAAGACAGCAGGGAGAAGGCAAAGAGCUUUUGAACAAGUGGGGUUUCAGGUUUGUUUGUUGCAACCGUCCUCACCAAACAGUCAAGCACUAGGCUAGUGGCCAAACACAUACAGUCCAGAACUAGGCCCGUGGACAAAAGCAUACAGUAUUCUUUGGAAUUAGGCUUGGUAGUCUUCCACGGUGUGCAUCUGUCAGACAGCCCUUGCUCUGGUUUCUUGCCAUUUUCCCUGGACCAAGUCCAUUGGUUGGGCCUACUGUAGCUUUUCUUACCCAGGUUUCCUUGGGACCUACUGUAUAACAUACUGAUGUACUACUGUACAUUGAUUGCUAUAUGUAGGUUUCUCUUUUACUUUGGUGUCUUGCACUCAUUGUUUUAUUUGUUCUUUUUACUGCUUUGUUUACUACCGUCUGUCUGGCAGAGCUAGAGUAGUAUACUACAUUGCUAGGAAAGUUAGUUGCACAGAUCUCCAGUCACAUAAACUGUUGCUAGGAAUAGUAGAGGUUUGUUGUAGAUAAGUGGAUGGUACAUACUACUCCUUACAUGUAGCCAUUGUGAGAGGCUUUUGUUGCUGUGUUUUUCUCACUGCAGGUCCUGGUGUAAGCAGCAAAAUACAAAUGGAGAACAGCAGCCUUAACUCUAUGUCAUUUUGGACACACAAUCACAUGUGUGAAGGUGUAUAGGUCCAUUGACUGAUGUGCCAAUUCUCUGUAUCAGCUACAACAAACGAGAUACUGUCAUAUGGUGUGAGAUUUAUGUACCUCUUCCCAAUCUGAUACCUUGGGCACACCAUUCUAGUUUCCACUAGUUAUUCAUCUCUCUUUCCCGAGCAGCAUUGGUUACCGCGGGGAGAUGUACUAGCGCAUAUAGCUCUUCCUGCUUCACCUCAUGGUGUUGAGGAGAGAAAUCUCCUCCCUCCGGCAAUCCGUGCAAGACCCACAGUGUAUCAGCAGAAGGCUUACCUCCCGUUGGACCACACUGCACAUGUGUAAGAUCUCAGAAACAUCGCAAGAUCUCAUAUGCAGGCCGGACCCCACAGAAGCCGUCCUAGGUUUGCACACAUACCGGCAGGUAAUCCUGACGAUAUGUAAAAAAAAACAACAACAACUUGGUAAGCCACAAAAGUGUGCUUUAUGUUUUUAAAUAAGAUCUGUAUGAUUUUCUGUCAUCAUACAAUCGUAUGGCAAUGGUGAUAUUGUUAGCUGUUUGCAGUUAUCUGCUUUCAUACAUACCAAGGUUCAUUAAGUGUCUAAUAACGCUGGUAUAAAUCAUUUGACACUUCCCACCUCUUCUUAGUACAUCUCCCCUCAUAUAACCAGGGCUUAAAGUGGUCCUGGAGAGGUGGUGGAACUCAUUUACCUGGACACUGCCUCCCCUUCUCACACACACAUUAUGCGUAAAUUAACUGUAAAUGAGUACCCUAAAGACCAUACUAAAGGGACAUUGAUCUCACAAAGAAGUAGCGUGGUCACAUAAUAGUACCCCAAUUCAAAUGACCCCAUACAGGGGAUACAAUCUUUUUCACAUUAUACCACAUAGUAAUGUCCCUUAUUCAGGUUAUGUCACACAGUAGUGCCCUUUAUUCACAUUGCACUACACCAUGGUACCCUCUAAACAUGUUAUGCCACACAGUAGUGCUCAACAGUAAUAUGAACGCCGCCUGUAUCAUCUAAUGCUGUAGAUGAUAGCGCAGGUUUUCCCGUUGGAAUUACUGUGCAGGGUAAUGGAGGUGGAGGAACUAGUUCCCCCUACCAUUACCGGUGGUGGAACGGAGUUCCACCUCGUUCCCCCUCACUUUAACCCCUGCAUAUAACACAUCUCCAUGUUUUAACUUUUAAAACGUCUUGUCUUGCAUCAAGAUCACAGGUGUACAUUACAAGAUUAGAAUACCUGGAAAACUUACACAUAAGGCCUGUUCAACUCUGUGCAAAAAAUAAUGUUCCUAAAAUUAGCUUUCCACUUAAUUACCUGUGCUGAAAUGAAAGAGAAAGGCAUUUUUAUGACCUGUUUAUUCAUUUAUUCCAGGUUGCUGUAGUAGGCAAAUACUGUAAGUGUAAUCUUUAUGGAUGUUGCAUCCACCUCUUUUUCUGUACCUCAUUUCUGCAUCUCCCAGAGGGUGGGUAUCUGCAGUAUAGUCGGAAAAUCUGGAUUUAAAUGCAGUUUUAAAUGACGUGUGUCCUUAGCAAAUCUCGGUAUGCCAGGUCCCGUGCUACUCAGCUGCACGUCUUUUUUAUUCAAAAUGUGCAUUAUAUUUGAACAAUUAAAACACAUGAGUGAAUAAAUUUCAUUGCUAGUAUACUGUACAUUGAUCAAAGGGGUGUGCGACAUUUGUACAUCUGUGUGCGACUCAGUCUGAAUCUGUGUAAUAAGGGCUCCCAUGCAAGCGGCCACAGCUUUUCCCCACACCAGGUUCCAUUGUACUUCAUCUGCGACUUUGUACAUGUGUAAAAUAAAUUCCUGUGUUAAAAGUCGUAACGCAACUUCUCCUGUACACUGUGUCUGCAAAUUAGAUGCAUCAUUUAAAAAAACACAUGGUACGCUACUCCUCUUAGAGCAUCUCUAUUGCGUCAGUUGUCUCACGCUGUAUGGUGUAUGGAUGCCCCAUAAGUGAGGACACAUCCCUACCUUUAUAAACAGCCAUGUAUUCCAGCAAUAGCUGCCUAUAAAGUAAUCUGAAAUACAGAGUAAUUUAAAAAUGGGUUUGUGAAUAAAAAAUAAAUCCUCAUUUUCCUACCUACUUUCAAUAGUCCGUUUACACAUACAGUUAAUGAUUUAAGAACAGCAGUUAAUG